GAUGAAGAACGUAGCGAAAUGCGAUAAGUAAUGCGAAUUGCAGAAUUCAGUGAAUCAUCGAGUCUUUGAACGCACAUUGCGCCCCCUGGUAUUCCGGGGGGCAUGCCUAUCCGAGCGUCAUUGCUGCCCUCAAGCACGGCUUGUGUGUUGGGCCCCGUCCUCCGAUCCCGGGGGACGGGCCCGAAAGGCAGCGGCGGCACCGCGUCCGGUCCUCGAGCGUAUGGGGCUUUGUCACCCGCUCUGUAGGCCCGGCCGGCGCUUGCCGAUCAACCCAAAUUUUUUAUCCAGGUUGACCUCGGAUCAGGUAGGGAUACCCGCUGAACUUAAGCAUAUCAAUAAGCGGAGGA
RNAcentral lists this unclassified non-coding RNA (347 nucleotides) under soil metagenome. RNAcentral describes it as "partial contains 5.8S ribosomal RNA, internal transcribed spacer 2, and large subunit ribosomal RNA". The stretch from base 1 to 120 matches the Rfam family "5.8S ribosomal RNA", at positions 35 to 154 of the family's 154-position model. The record is from RNAcentral.